GACGAACCGUGCGAACGUUAUUCGGAAUCACUGGGCUUAAAGCGCGUGUAGGCGGGCGGGAACGUCGGUUGCUGAAAGCCCCCGGCUCAACCGGGGAACGGGCGCCGAAUCGACCCGCCUCGAGGGACGUAGGGGGACCUGGAACUUCCGGUGGAGCGGUGAAAUGCGUUGAGAUCGGAAGGAACGCCCGUGGCGAAAGCGAGGUCCUGGACGUCUGCUGACGCUGAGACGCGAAAGCCAGGGGAGCGAACGGG
Molecule: ribosomal RNA, 254 nt
Filed under: uncultured bacterium
Lineage: Bacteria
Description: partial 16S ribosomal RNA
Rfam family: Bacterial small subunit ribosomal RNA
Source: RNAcentral